AUUGAACGCUGGCGGCAGGCCUAAAACAUGCACGUCGAGCGAGCGGCGGACGGGUGAGUAAUGUAUGGGGAACUGCCCGAUAGAGGGGGAUAACUACUGGAAACGGUGGCUAAUACCGCAUACUAUCAGAUGAACCCAGAUGGGAUUAGCUAGUAGGUGGGGUAAAGGCUCACCUAGGCGCCGAUCUCUCGCUGGUCUGAGAGGAUGAACAGCCACACGGGGACUGAGACACGGCCCAGACUCCUACGGUAGGCAGCAGGGGGGAAUAUUGCACAAUGGGCGCAAGCCUGAUGCAGCCAUGCCGCGUGUAUGAAGAAGGCCUUAGGGUUGUAAAGUACUUUCAGCGGGGAGGCGUUACCCGCAGAAGAAGCACCGGCUAACUCCGUGCCAGCAGCCGCGGUAAUAC
RNAcentral lists this ribosomal RNA (406 nucleotides) under uncultured bacterium. Its description in RNAcentral is "partial 16S ribosomal RNA". It matches the Rfam family "Bacterial small subunit ribosomal RNA", at positions 30 to 526 of the family's 1533-position model. The record is from RNAcentral.